RNAcentral lists this transfer RNA (66 nucleotides) under Teredorus nigropennis. Its description in RNAcentral is "tRNA-Trp". RNAcentral also lists the same sequence under 2 other names. The record is from RNAcentral. Lineage: Eukaryota; Metazoa; Arthropoda; Insecta; Orthoptera; Tetrigidae.
AAGGACUUAAGUUAAAAAAACUAGUAACCUUCAAAGUUAAAUAUAAAAGAAAUCUUUUAGACCUUA